CUGGCCCAGGAGAAGUCCAUAGGAGAAGAUGUGUAUGAGAAACCCAUCUCAGAGCUGGACAGACUUGAGGAAAAACAGAAGGAAACCUACCGGCGCAUGCUAGAGCAGCUGCUGCUGGCCGAGAAGUGUCACCAGCGCACGGUGUACGAGCUGGAGAACAAAAAGCACAAACACACGGACUACAUGAACAAGAGCGACGACUUCACCAACCUGCUGGAGCAGGAGCGGGAGAGGUUGAAAAAACUCCUUGAACAAGAAAAGGCUUACCAAGCCCGCAAAGAAAAGGAAAAUGCUAAGCGGCUCAACAAACUGAGAGAUGAGCUUGUGAAACUCAAGUCCUUCGCACUCAUGCUGGUGGAUGAAAGGCAGAUGCAUAUCGAGCAACUUGGCCUGCAAAGCCAGAAAGUACAGGACCUGACUCAGAAACUGAGGGAAGAGGAAGAAAAGCUCAAAGCCAUCACUUCUAAAUCCAAAGAAGACAGGCAGAAGUUGCUCAAGUUGGAAGUGGAUUUUGAACACAAGGCUUCGAGGUUUUCCCAGGAGCAUGAAGAGAUGAACGCUAAGCUGGCCAAUCAGGAGUCUCACAACAGGCAGCUCAGACUCAAGCUGGUUGGCUUGACUCAAAGAAUCGAGGAGCUGGAAGAGACCAACAAAAAUCUUCAAAAGGCAGAAGUAGAACUUCAGGAACUAAGAGAUAAAAUUGCCAAAGGGGAAUGUGGCAACUCCGGUCUCAUGGCAGAAGUGGAAAAGCUUCGGAAGCGCGUACUUGAGAUGGAGGGUAAAGAUGAAGAGAUCACGAAAACCGAAUCCCAGUGCCGGGAGCUGAGGAAGAAGCUGCAGGAGGAAGAGCAUCAUAGCCGAGAGCUCAAACUUGAAGUUGAGAAGUUACAGAUGAGAAUGUCUGAACUGGAGAAACUGGAAGAAGCAUUCAGCAAGAGUAAAUCGGAGUGCACCCAGCUGCAUUUCAAUCUGGAGAAAGAAAAGAACUUAACCAAGGACCUGCUCAAUGAAUUGGAGGUAGUCAAGAGUCGGGUUAAAGAACUGGAAUGUUCUGAAAGUCGAUUGGAAAAGGCCGAAUUAAGCCUAAAAGACGAUCUUACAAAGUUGAAGUCCUUUACCGUGAUGCUGGUUGAUGAAAGGAAAAACAUGAUGGAAAAAAUAAAGCAAGAAGAGAGAAAAGUGGAUGGACUCAAUAAAAAUUUUAAGGUGGAACAAGGCAAGGUUAUGGAUGUCACGGAAAAACUCAUCGAAGAAAGUAAGAAGCUUUUAAAACUGAAAUCUGAAAUGGAGGAAAAGGUAUACAAUUUGACGAAAGAGAGAGAUGAGUUAAUAGGCAAACUGAAAAGUGAAGAAGAAAAAUCCUCUGAAUUAAGCUGCAGUGUUGACUUAUUAAAGAAGAGACUUGAUGGGAUAGAGGAAGUGGAGAGAGAAAUAACGAGAGGAAGGUCUCGAAAAGGACCUGAGCUCACCUGCCCAGAAGAUAACAAAAUUAAGGAGCUAACACUUGAAAUUGAGAGACUGAAGAAACGUCUCCAACAGUUGGAGGUGGUGGAAGGGGAUUUGAUGAAGACGGAAGAUGAAUACGACCAGCUGGAGCAGAAAUUUAGAAGCGAGCAGGAUAAGGCCAACUUCCUCUCUCAACAGCUGGAGGAGAUAAAACACCAAAUCGCCAAGAAUAAAGCAAUAGAGAAAGGUGAGGCGGUGAGCCAGGAGGCCGAGCUGAGACACAGAUUUCGGUUGGAAGAGGCGAAAAGUCGAGACUUAAAAGCAGAAGUCCAAGCCCUUAAAGAGAAGAUUCAUGAACUGAUGAACAAAGAAGAUCAGCUUUCUCAGCUCCAAGUGGAUUAUUCUGUCCUUCAACAAAGAUUUAUGGAAGAAGAAAAUAAGAACAAGAACAUGGGGCAGGAGGUCCUCAAUCUGACCAAAGAGUUGGAGCUGUCCAAGCGGUACAGCCGCGCUCUCCGACCCAGUGUGAACGGGAGGAGGAUGGUGGAUGUCCUCGUGACAUCCACCGGCGUCCAGACGGAUGCUGUUGGCAGCGAAGCGGCGGAGGAGGACACGCCAGCAGUGUUUAUACGCAAAUCCUUUCAAGAAGAAAACCAUAUCAUGAGUAACCUGCGACAGGUGGGACUGAAGAAACCGAUGGAACGUUCCUCUGUCCUAGACAGGUAUCCGCCCACGGCCAACGAGCUCACCAUGAGGAAGUCUUGGAUUCCAUGGAUGAGGAAAAGGGAGAAUGGGCCCCCGCUGACUCAAGAGAAGGGGCCUCGAGCCGGUUCCAGCCCGGGGCACCCAGGAGAGCUGGUUCUUUCGCCCAAGCAGGGCCAGCCCCUGCACAUUCGAGUGACGCCAGACCACGAGAACAGCACUGCCACUUUGGAGAUUACGAGCCCCACGGCGGAAGAAUUUUUUUCCAGUACCACCGUCAUUCCCACCCUAGGGAAUCAGAAACCGAGGAUAACCAUUAUCCCAUCACCAAAUGUCAUGUCUCAGAAACAGAAAAGCGGAGAUGCUACUCUGAGCGCGGAGCGAGCCAUGUCCCCGGUCACGAUUACUACCUUCUCCAGAGAGAAGACACCAGAAAGCGGAAGAGGGCCGUUUGCGGACAGGCCCACGUCGCCCAUUCAGAUCAUGACCGUGUCCACAUCGGCGGCCCCGGCGGACCUCGCUGUCCCUCCCGAAUCCCAGGAAAUGACCGUGGGAAGGACUGUCCUCAAGGUCACCCCAGAGAAGCAGACUGUGCCAACCCCAGUCCGGAAGUACAACUCCAAUGCCAAUAUCAUAACCACGGAAGACAAUAAAAUUCACAUUCACUUAGGUUCUCAGUUUAAGCGAGCCCCUGGGACUUCAGCUGAAGGAGCAAGCCCGGUGAUUACCGUCCGACCUGUCAACAUGACGGCGGAGAAGGAGGUGUCCACCGGCACAGUCCUUCGCUCGCCCAGGAGCCACGUCUCGUCUCGCCCUGGCGCGAGCAAAGUGACCAGCACCAUCACCAUUACACCGGUCACGACCUCAUCGGCCAGAGGAACCCAGUCAGUGUCGGGACAAGACGGGUCAUUCCAGCGGCCUACACCCACCCGCAUUCCUAUGUCAAAAGGUAUGAAAGCAGGAAAGGCAGUAGUGGCAGCCCCAGGAGCAGGAAAUCUGACCAAAUUCGAGCCUCGAGCUGAGACUCAGUCUAUGAAAAUAGAGCUGAAGAAAUCUGCAGCCGGCAGCGCUACCUCUCCUGGAGGGGGGAAGGGCUGAGGGCAGUGGCGGAGGGGAUUUGGAAUACUGGAGAAAGAGCAAGACUUUCCUGAUUGGGAAAACGCCAGGGAUAUUCGACGAGAAGGGCACGUUUAUGUGGGCAGAGAGGGCAGAGAGGAAGAGGUAACAGGAUGAGCACAGAGAGGGCUUGAUAGUAAACAGGAAUGUAUUAUUCCCAAAGCUCCCUAACCCAGCCGAUGGUCAGUGUUUCCCCCCCCUGCUUCCUCCUCCGGACUCAUCCUCGGUUAUCUCCUCACCCUCUGCUCUUUCAACUUCUCCUUUUCGCCCGUUACCUCCACGUAGGAUGUAAAUACGCUCUGGCCUCUUCCGUUUGAGCACAGUGUUUCCUUCAGCCAUGCAGUCCUCUCUGGCUACUGCCCUGACCCCUUCCCUUCCUGCCCGGUGGAGCCACUGACACAACGCUCGGCCUUUUCUGCCUCCACGUCCACUGUUCCCAUUGAUUCUUUAAUUAUUCUUUAUUUUUGUGCAAGUAACUCAUAUACAGUUAAAAUACAAGCCAGCGCUAAAAGACAUGAAAAGAGCUGUUCCUGACCUCACACCCCCUUUCCAAACUCAGCUCUACUCCCUAGAGAAAAUUAUUAUUUCUCACUCUAAAUUGAUAAAUUUUGGAUAUCUUUUUCUUCCCAUUAUUGUUUUGAUGUUUGAGAAUUUAGUCCUCUUACGUGUCUCCUCCCUUCCCUUUUCCCCAUCCUCACAAUAUGAUUGCAUCACACCUUUUUUGAUAAAUCAGCAGCCAGCAGCCAGCAUGUUUCAUGUUCAUAUGUUUACAAUGUAAAUUUAAAUAUUGUUCCCUGCUGAGCCAAGUAGUGUACUAUGAUUAUGUUUCCUUCCUCUUACCACGUUCCCCCUUCAAAAGAAUAAUUGCUUUAAUUUUUCAUCUGCUUGCUUUUCUAUGUAUCUACCUGUAUCUUUUCCAAAUGCUCCAAUAGAUCUACCGAACACCUAUGAGUAAUUUUUCCAAACACUUAAGCACAUCGGUUUCAUACUUUUCCCUGGAGGCCUUACUUAGUCUGGGAUGCUUGUACUUUACACCUGCCGCUCAGCUGUUGUCCUAUGGCCUACAUUGAAGCCUCUGUUUCCUGGAUUUCUUAUCUUCUACUUCUUUCGCUUACCUGUUUGUCUGCCUAUCUAUCUAUCUACCUAUCUAUCUAUCUACCUACCUAUCUAUCUAUCUAUCUAUCUAUCUAUCUAUCUAUCUAUCACCUAUCUAUCUAUCUACCUAUCGAAGCGCAUCUUCCAGUAGUUUCUACAGAGAAAAAUCCUCCAGUAACCUUCCUGAGGCAGGCUACCUGCAUUCUGGGAACAGAUCAGGGAGAUGAAGUGGAGAAUCUCACAGUUUAGGCACUCCCUUGCAUUCAGCCCAUUCUUGUACCUAGGUCCAGAACUUGUUAGGUCAGUUUUUUCAGAGAAUAAACCCCAGAUCUCUGUUAAGGGUGAAAGUAGAGUGAGGUUUUGCUCCUCUCCCUCUGUGACUGAGACCUCGAAUCUCCUUUGGAUUCCGUGAACUUCUCUGACUGCCCUGCCUCAGUCUCCCUUGCUGGCUCCUUAUUGUAUGCAUGCAUUUUUUUAAAAAUUGAAGUAUAGGUGAUUUACAAUGUUGUGUUAAUUACUGCUGUACAGCAAAGUGAUUCAGUUACACAUGUAUAUACAUUCUUUUUUUCAUAUUCUUUUCCAUUAUGGUUUAUCACAGGAUAUUGAAUAUAGUUCCCUGCGCUCUACAGUAGGACCUUGUUGUUUAUCCAUUCUCUAUAUAAAAGUUUGCAUCUGCUAAUCCCAGCAUCCCAAUCCAUCCCUCCCCCAACCCCCUCCCCCUUGGCAACCACAAGUCUGUGCUCUAUGUCCCUGAUUCUGCUUGUUUCAUAGAUAGGUCCAUUUGUAUCAUAUUUUAGAUUCCACAUAUAAGUGAUAUCCUAUGGUAUUUGUCUUUCUCUGUCUGACUUACUUCACUUAGUAUGAUCAUCUCUAGGUCCAUCCAUGUUGCUUGUGCAUGCAUCUUAAGGGUUGCUGUUCUCCUCAUCUUUUCAAAAGCCAUUUGCCUACACUGCGUGCUCAUCUGGUUACUUUAUUCACUCCCAUGGCUUCAGUUAUCUCCCAUAUGCUAAUGACGACCAAACCUCUAUCUCCAACCAUGCCCUCAACGUGGCACUGUACAUCUCCAACUUGGUUCGUCUCAAAGCCAUUCUCAACAGCCCCUCCAUCCCUCUUCCAAGUUUUUCGCUUCUCCUAUAAUUCUCCACCUCAGCAGGAACGUCCUGAGCUACCCAGUCACUCAAGAAAGCCAGAAGGCACUUCAGGCCCCUCCUUCCCUCUCACCCACCAAGGAGACUCAUUCAGCAAGUCUCUCAUACCCCUGUCAAGCCCCUGACACCUGAGGCAGCUGCACCCACAUCUCCAUUUUCCCCAUCACUGCCUGAGUGGGGGUUCUAACUGCUUCUCAUCUGGAUGACUCUAAUACUCUCCCAACUGAUCCCAUAAUCUCCAGCCUCAGCGUUUCUGAUUCAUUUUUCAUUUUGUUUUUCAAAGUGCAAGUUGAUCAUCUCACUCCUCUAUUUGAAGCCCUCCCAAGGCCCCUCGUUAUCCACAGCAUGCAAAGCCAGCUCCCUGGUGUGGCGCUCCCGGCUCUGUGAUCUGGCUCCCUACCUCCCCACCCUCCCUUUCCCUCGCCUGGACUCCCACCCCCAGGCCCACAGAAUGCCCUGCACAGUGGCCAGAUCACCUACCCUUGACCUGCUCAACUUGUUUCUUCUCCCUGGGUUGCCCUUCCUCCCACAUUUCCUUCUGGUGGUUCUGUCCUCUGUUCAAAAUCUCUUUUAAGAACUUUGCCUCCAUGAACAAGACAGGCCAUUAUUUCAGAAUCUAAGCCAGGGUUUAAAGCCUGUCCUUUUUUACAUUUUUACAGCAAAUCCUGUAAAAAAAAACUUGGUACUUACUGUAGAGAAAGAAAACCAAGUCAAAGGAUGGCUGGGAGUUGGAGAAGAAAGAGGUGUUCUUGCUUCCUCCUUCGUCUGCAAUACAAACCUGUGAGAAUGAUAUGGAGGGUGCUGACACAUCAUGCGUGAGAACACAGAGGGAAAGAGGCAGCAGAAUUAGGGGAAAUCUGGGUGCUGCCCUUCUGGAUGGUAAAGCAUCAUCAUCCACCAGUUACGUAUGAGCUCCAGAUGAAAUGGUAAACCGAGCACACACUGGGUGUGUGUACUUCUUCUGAAUCCCUGUUGAAUGGAUAGUAUUUCUCCAGCUCUCCACCAUCACUAAGGUCCUCUAUGCUACUGAUCAUGACUGGAAAUAAUUUUCUACUUCCAGUGAAUUUUUCUGAGGAUACAAAUGUAAAAACUGAACAUGGUGUUGCUGACAAUAUAAAAAUACGUAGCAUGAGAGCAAUUCAAUCUUUAUGUCAGAAUAAAUUUCUCUUCCUUUUGCAAAGCUUUCAGGUCCAUGGGCACAUGCUGUGUAAUUUAUUUUUAUAAUACACUUUGUAAUGUGAUUUUUUACUAAAGUGUUUCCUUUUUCAUAGUCUAUGGCACAUGUAUCUGUAGAAUACACUGUCAGUUCUUCAAAGUAUUGGUACUGGUGCAUUCAAAAUGGUAACCUAUACUUAUUUUCUUUCAUCAAUUUGUUAUUUCUGAAAAAAAAAAAGAAAGUACAACACUCUACAUAUUUCCUGGGGUAAAUUCAAGAGGUAAAUCCAAAGCAGGAGAUUCUGGAAGAGGUGUUAUUAUUGUUUGUACAAUGCUGUGGUUCUGAUCAUGGUUCAACACUAACAAAUAACACUGACUUAAGAGCUUAAUUUUAAAUAAGCCAGUUUUUAAAGUUGCUCUUUCUAGUGUUCUGUGCCCAAAACCCUGGAUGAAUUGGUUUUCAUAUGGAACAAAUUAAUAGAAGGAGCUGUAUGAGUUUAACCAGUAAGAUUUACAGGGACACCUUCUACUGACAGUUCAAUUAUAUUUCUAUUUGCAUUGUUUACUUAUAUGUACAGGACUUAUAAUAAGGACUGUGAUAUCAGGAUAUUUCUCACAAUCUACCCAAAUGAAAGCCUGAAAAUAAAAACUGACCUAGAUGCUAUCAGCAUCUUUUUAAAAUAUGGUAGGAGAAAUCCCAAGAUAGAUAACUUUUUUUUUCCUUGAUAGCUAGGAUUUGGACAGGAUUUCAUAACCACAUAUAGGUUAGAGAAUAUAUUCUUAAAAGAUUCAAAGCAAACAUACAUUGCUCAAAUCUCAGUGUCAGACCUGCUGUUGAAUUUAGGUUUAUGUGAAAAUAUGCAUCAGAAAUCUACUUGAAACCCUAAUAGUAUAGGUUUUUUUAAAAAAAGACUUUGUUAAUAUGGACAUGUUUUCAAGAAGGUCUUUAAAAAGAUAACUGAAAGGUAACUGAAGAGUUGACACAUUUUCUAGGUGCAGAAAUCAUGUAUCAUGUCACUUUACUGAGAUUAAAGAAAGAAUGCUUCUGAGUGUCACAAGUAUAACUAGAAAGCACACAAGUAAUACUAUUGGCCCAUUUCUCCAGUUCCCAGCUUUAUCCAGGUUCCUAAGGCCACAGAGGGAAAUCCACACUGAAUCUCUAGAACAGAAACGUUAGGUUUUAAGGUAUACCUUGUGGAAUUAGCAAAUCAUAUUCAGUAGCUAUUAUAAAUUAAAUAACUAUAUUUUAUGUAAAGUUAGUUUUGAUUUUUGUAAGUAAAAGAAAUGCUACAGUAGGUUUGUCCGAGCAUGAAUGAUUGUGAAUGCAUCACAGACCUGCAAGGCUUUCAUUACUGAUUAAGAAAACUAGAGUGUGUAUGUGUGAAGAUUUUAAAAAUUGUUAUGGCUUUUGAUUUCUGAAAAUGUUUCUGAACUGGAAAGACAAUUUCAAUGAGAAAAGCGUUUUAUUUAGUAUUGUCGUAUUUUUUGACUCACCGUUAAGUUCCCUAUGUGCCAAUGCUUAUACUUCUGAUGGCAAAAAUAUUCUGAUAUAUCACAAACUAGCGUCUGAAGCAAAUAACUGUCUGAGCAUGUGGGAAUUUUAUUACACUAAGAGUGAACAGGCUAGAGGAUAAAACUUUAAAUACUUCUUGACUUUAAUUUCAAAUAUUACAAAUAAUUUAUAUAUAUUUGGAUCAAAAGUUUUUAUUUCUCCUGCAUUUAUAAUGAAAUUUGGUACUUGCAAAGCAGAGUGAGGGUGAUGGUGUGAUCCAAGUCAUUCAGAUGGAUACAGAGCUCCUUUCUGCCUCUGCUAUGGUUAAGUCCUUUCUUUAAACUCUAAUGGAAUCUAAGUGGCCGAUGAGUAAUAUUAACCUAAAUUAAUAAAAAAGUCGUCUUGAAAUAAAAUAAUAGAAUAUUAAAAAUUAACAGAAAAUAGAAAACGCCAAAGAGUCAUAUCCUUAUCUAAUGAAUAAACAAACAAGAUCGUAAAUAGUCAUAUUCCAAUAUCAACAUCCAAUGGAAAAGAUUGCCCCCCAUGUGCGAUCCUGGCUCCAUCCCAGACUCACAUGAUUUCUAUAUCUUUUAUUAUAAGCAAAUCUCCAAUCAUCAGUAUGAGUGAGAAUCAGUUUUGAAUGGAAUAAUUAGGUUUUCUGAAAGAUAAUCAUAAUCAGUGUUUCCAGGUUAAGGCAUAUAAUUGAACUAAUCCAUUAUGUUGCCCUUUUCUUUUUGAGAGGAGAAUGUUUUUUGAGGGUAUCUUCUACAAAGAUUGUUUUUCAAGUAUGUCAUAAAAUAUUAGGGUUUGAUGAAGUUAGUGGUAGAGGAAAUAUUCCAGAUAUUAGAUGCCUGGAAUGGUCACAGAAUGUGCAGAAUGAACUGCAUCUUAGGACAACCAUUUGAAAAAAAAUCAUGGUGUGGAAUAUCUAGCUUAAACAUUAACAGAGACACCAACACUACUGAAAUAACUCACAGCUUCUAAACACCAGUGACGAGGAGUAAAUGGUGUAUCAGACAACGCAUUUAAUAUGUUUGUGCCUUUUCUAUUUAUACUGUGGUUGAAUUUUCCUGGAAAUAAAUAAAAAACAUAGCAAAAGUAGGGUGUGUUCAUGAAUUUGAUGAGCAACAAUUCUAAAAACAACAAAAAUGCAAGAUGGAAGUUUAAAAAAAAACCAUAUCUGGCAUCUGAGGCCUAUACGCCCCUCCGGACUCCCGUGUUUACACCUCUGCUAAAAAUACUAAUUAGAAGGCAAAAAGGAAAAAUGACCAAAAUUGUUGUAACAAAUUCAUAAAAAUUGGGAGAGUUUCAUGGAAUUAAUUUUGCUUAGUGACCACUAAAAUUUUAUUUUCUUAAAUUUUCAGCAUUUACUCCAUAACUAAAUGAUGAAAACUGUGUCUGUUACUUAGGGAAAAUGCCGUAGAUUCAUAAAUUUACACAGAAAUGUUUAUAGGUGCCAUGACAUGAUUCAUUUAUUUUCUGGUGUUGUUUUCUUUUUGUUUGUUUAUGUUAUUUGGGUAAUUUUACCUCACCAUUCACAGAUUUUGUUAUUUUAACAAUUCAGCUCUGUAUUUCUUUAGAUUUUGCUUUAAAAAUGUCAGAUGUUAGCUCUUCCAAUAUAAGAGGCUUACAAUGUGAUCAGGUACUCUUAGAAGUCUUGCAAGGUUUAAUGGAUUUUCAAAAGCAAAAGAUUGCAUUGAAAAAAUUUGGAGCUACAUUCUAUUUUCACAGCAUUCUCAAUUUUGUUUCCUUUAAGUUUUAUUAAAUCCAUGAGAAGUUUAUUAUUUUUCACUACAGCCGAGUGAAUUUAUGGAUAUGUACUUGUUUUUUCUAUGAAUGUAAUAUCCUACUUUCAGUUCUUCACAGGCUAUUGAAAUUAUUUAACCAAUUAAGACAUUCUCUGUGCUAUUUCCAAAGCCAACUAUGUUUAUCAAAAUCUCACCAGAGUGAGAAAAAUAACAAUUGUGAUAUGAAAGCAUUGUGCAAUAUUCUUUUUUGAGUUGGAACAUAAUAUUCAUCAAAUUAAAAUCAUUUAAAAUGAGUAUUCAACCUUCUUUUUACUUAAAAUUGUUUGCUUUAAAAUAGUUUUCCCUUCUGCAUUUUGUAUUUUCUUUAAAAUAUGGUGUUUUUCACUGUGAAUAUGCAGAAGCGGUACAGCAGAUCUGCCAAAAUGAGAGACGCUUUUCCUUGGAGUUACAUCAUAGUUUGAUUCCUUAGUGAGAUGAAAACUGCAAGACACCAAGAGACACAGCUGGUUGCAGGGUUUCCCUCGCCCCUUUAGCCUCCCCAAAUGCUUUGUCCAUCAGCAUUCAGAUAUUUCCCACUGCGUUCUGCUGUCAAUCUAAAGGGAGAUUACUCAGUAGAGUGAACGCUCCUGAGGUUUUCCAGCAGUCCUCAGCCAGCCUCUACAUGGGCAGCUGGGUAAUGGUUUCAGAAGAGUGUGCUGGGGGUGACUGUGGGGUUGUGCUCUGAUCUCUUUUAUUUGUCAGCCUUGUGCCAGAAAUGGUGGUCCAUUGCCAUAGCCAAUCCGAAUGUAUCUUUGCCUUACUGGGGACAAAGGAAUGGGUUUCUCCUAUUAUUUAAAGAUAGCAUAUCCAAAAAGCAGGCAAGGCUGAUGUCUACCCAAAGAUGCCUUCCACAGGAAAGCUGCAGAUGUUAGGGGUCUUACCCAUAAUUGCAGCUCUUUGGCUUCUCUUCUUGGAGGAGUGGAGCCCUUUGGGGGACAUGGUUUAAGAGCAUUGGCCAAAAGACUGUUAUUUCAUGACUUCCUGGGAGAAGGGGUCACAGGCUUUCCAUCAUAUACGUUCAAAUGGAUUAUUGCCUUUGAGUCCUGGGAUAGAGUCACUUUUAAUGAGGACAGGCUUUUCCCCCAGGUAGAGAAACCGGAGCAACUUCUCUGGGCCCCAUGUUUGUUGGCAGUAGGGCACAGUGCACCAAACUCUUUUCUUUUCCUUUUUCUGAAUGUCACUAAAGUCUGCUUUUGUAAUUUGUAUUCAAUGAAUCCCAAGGAACGUAUGAAAAAUGUCAAGCACUGAGGUCUGUCUUCAGCUGGGGCAACCCUAGUGACUGCAUGGUCCCAGGCACAGCAACCUGAUCCACAGAUGAUGGUAAGAACCCAGUUCCCUGCAGUUCCCAGAUCAUUUUUUUUUAAAAGAUAAUCAGUCCUCCUUUAGUUUUCCCUGGCAUUAUUUCCAGCAUCUCCUUCAGAGAUAAGUAUCUCUAAGGAUAAAAUAAUUUUCUUCUUUCUCUUCAGGAGUCCAUUUGUCCCAUUCUGCCUUAUAUUGACUGGCAUUGGUGUAAAACGCUGUCUCCCUAGUGUGACUGUAAGCUUCUCAGAGGCAGGACUUGCAUAUUCCUCACAGUGAAUAGAAUAUACUGGAUAAAUGUUUGCAAAAGGCAAUAUAAUUCCUUCUUCCAACUGCUCUGUCUCCUAAUCUUCACAGAAGUUUUCCAUGACCAUAAACACAUACUCAGUUUUGGUCUUUCUGACUCUUACUCCCAUUUCUUUCUCCUCCUUGAGAACAAGGUAUAUGCAUAGUCAAAAUGGCAGGGUGUUUUAUAGGCACUUAGUUAUUGACUCCUAAUCCCAAAGGGUUGCUCCUUCAGCAGGGUGUUCUGUGCCAGAUCUUCCUCACCAAAUUGACCUGCCUGGUGAUUCUACCCCUGCAGAAGCCUCUGUACCCAUUGAAGGUUUCAGAUGCAGAGUAUCUGGAUUUAACAAGAGAAAACUCUCAAUAAUCACUGAUUCUAAGGGAAGAUAUGCUCUCUACAAGGACAAAGGGCCCUCAUCUUAUCAGAUCACCAGAUGGUCUGUGCUAGCAUAACAAGAGAGUUGUGGUCCGUCAUGUCUGAUUCACAGAGGCUGAGCCCCGGUUCCCACAUAGAGCAUUGGUGCAAGUAAGCAGUGGGACAAAUGGACUCCACAAGCUAACAAACUGAGCAUCUCCCACAAGUGGAAGGAACCAGCGAUCUCUGUUUCUAGGGCAAUGGCAAUCUGCUAAGAUCUUGCUUGAGAAAAAGAACAUGAUCAGCCAGGGUAUAUGGUUUUGCAAAUUAUUAUUAAUAAGUGUAGUAUAAGGUUCAACUUUCUCUACGUCCCUUUAUUUUUGAUUCUCUUCUCUCCUGGGUAGAGAACCACAAUAUCACUUAGACCUUAGGACCAAUUUCCUCACAAUUUAGUUUUUGACAUAAUAAAGAGGAUAAGGUGUGAUACCUCCCCAGACCCUCUAUAAGUCCCUGUGCACACAUUUUAUAUGGCACUGACCUCAUUAUAUUUCAAUUGCUUGUUACCAAAUUGUCUUUCUCAUGGAGUUAGGAAAGUCUCUUUCCUCCAUGGCCCCUCCCCUUUUAAAAAUUAUGUCACUGUUACACAUGUGUCAGUUGGCUGUCAAACAAGAAAUUGCAGCAUCAUAUUUGAAAGGAAGACCUUAUCUAUAAUUGAUGGCACCUGUAAUAGAUAAAUGAUGGAAAACUAUAUGCCAUGGUAUGUAAUUGACUGAGG
Molecule: RNA transcript, 12655 nt
Organism: Physeter macrocephalus (sperm whale)
Lineage: Eukaryota; Metazoa; Chordata; Mammalia; Artiodactyla; Physeteridae
Gene: FILIP1
Gene name: filamin A interacting protein 1
Exons: 6
Source: RefSeq, a predicted model, not a curated record